This 440-nucleotide ribosomal RNA is filed under the name uncultured bacterium. RNAcentral describes it as "partial 16S ribosomal RNA". It matches the Rfam family "Bacterial small subunit ribosomal RNA", at positions 338 to 795 of the family's 1533-position model. The record is from RNAcentral.
CCUACGGGAGGCAGCAGUAGGGAAUAUUGCUCAAUGGGGGAAACCCUGAAGCAGCAACGCCGCGUGGAGGAUGAAGGUUUUCGGCUUGUAAACUCCUUUUGUUAGAGAAGAUAAUGACGGUAUCUAACGAAUAAGCACCGGCUAACUCCGUGCCAGCAGCCGCGGUACUACGGCGGGUGCAAGCGUUACUCGGAAUCACUGGGCGUAAAGAGCGCGUAGGCGGGAUGGCAAGUCAGAUGUGAAAUCCUGUAGCUUAACUACAGAACUGCAUUUGAAACUGUUACUCUGGAGUGUGGGAGAGGUAGGGGGAAUUCUUGGUGUAGGGGUAAAAUCCGUAGAGAUCAAGAGGAAUACUCAUUGCGAAGGCGACCUGCUGGAACAUUACUGACGCUGAUGCACGAAAGCGUGGGGAGCAAACAGGAUUAGAUACCCGAGUAGUC